Molecule: ribosomal RNA, 505 nt
Filed under: uncultured bacterium
Lineage: Bacteria
Description: partial 16S ribosomal RNA
Rfam family: Bacterial small subunit ribosomal RNA
Source: RNAcentral
GACGAACGCUGGCGGCGUGCCUAAUACAUGCAAGUAGAACGCACAGUUUAUACCGUAGCUUGCUACACCAUAGACUGUGAGUUGCGAACGGGUGAGUAACGCGUAGGUAACCUGCCUGGUAGCGGGGGAUAACUAUUGGAAACGAUAGCUAAUACCGCAUAAUAUUAAUUAUUGCAUGAUAAUUGAUUGAAAGAUGCAACUGCAUCACUACCAGAUGGACCUGCGUUGUAUUAGCUAGUAGGUGAGGUAACGGCUCACCUAGGCGACGAUACAUAGCCGACCUGAGAGGGUGAUCGGCCACACUGGGACUGAGACACGGCCCAGACUCCUACGGGAGGCAGCAGUAGGGAAUCUUCGGCAAGGGACGAAAGUCUGACCGAGCAACGCCGCGUGAGUGAAGAAGGUUGUCGGAUCGUAAAGCUCUGUUGUAAGAGAAGAACGGGUGUGAGAGUGGAAAGUUCACACUGUGACGGUAACUUACCAGAAAGGGACGGCUAACUACGUG